UCAGCAAUCAACAACAGUCACUAGACAUCAAACAAAGUGAACGCACAGUUGUACUGAGCUCCCAAAAGAUUCUGAUUCAUUUAAAACCAAAACUUAAAACUAAAACUAUUAUCAACAUGAAAUUCAUCGUAUUGGCAUUUUUGGUUGUUUUGGCCGCUGUUGCUAUUGUUUCAGCUGUACCGGUCGAUGAAUCGUUGCCUGAAGCAGUGUACGGCAGCUCGGAUAACUACAAUCCACAAGAGCCAAGUGAAUUCUUCAAAUUGAAGAAACUCAAGAAAAUCUUCUUCGGUUAGAUUGGAUUAAUGUCGAAACAAUUGCAUCGAUAACGAUGGUGAUAAGAGAACGCCACCAUCCACCAUUCUCUAUACUCACAAAUUUAAUUGUUUUUUUUUUUCUUAAAUUUAAUUGUUUUGAUUAUUUAUGCUGCAAAUAUAUCGCUGAGAAAUAUUAUCCUCA
Long non-coding RNA from Contarinia nasturtii (swede midge), 456 nucleotides. RefSeq lists it as uncharacterized. The record is from RefSeq and is a predicted model, not a curated record. The transcript has 2 exons. NCBI's taxonomy places the organism in Eukaryota, Metazoa, Arthropoda, Insecta, Diptera, Cecidomyiidae.